UGGGGAAUAUUGGACAAUGGGCGAAGCCUGAUCCAGCCAUGCCGCGUGUGUGAAGAAGGUCUUCGGAUUGUAAAGCACUUUAAGUUGGGAGGAAGGGCAGUAAGUUAAUACCUUGCUGUUUUGACGUUACCAACAGAAUAAGCACCGGCUAACUUCGUGCCAGCAGCCGCGGUAAUACGAAGGGUGCAAGCGUUAAUCGGAAUUACUGGGCGUAAAGCGCGCAUAGGUGGUUCAGCAAGUUGGAUGUGAAAUCCCCGGGCUCAACCUGGGAACUGCAUCCAAAACUACUGAGCUAGAGUACGGUAGAGGGUGGUGGAAUUUCCUGUGUAGCGGUGAAAUGCGUAGAUAUAGGAAGGAACACCAGUGGCGAAGGCGACCACCUGGACUGAUACUGACACUGAGGUGCGAAAGCGUGGGGAGCAAAACAGGAUUAGAUACCCUAGGUAGUCCACGCCGUAAAACGAUGUCGACUAGCCGUUGGGGAUCCUUGAGAUCUUAGUGGCGCAGCUAACGCGAUAAGUCGACCGCCUGGGGAGUACGGCCGCAAGGUUAAAAACUC
RNAcentral lists this ribosomal RNA (559 nucleotides) under uncultured bacterium. RNAcentral's name for it is "partial 16S ribosomal RNA". It matches the Rfam family "Bacterial small subunit ribosomal RNA", at positions 355 to 902 of the family's 1533-position model. The record is from RNAcentral.